RNAcentral lists this ribosomal RNA (448 nucleotides) under uncultured bacterium. Its description in RNAcentral is "bacterial SSU rRNA". It matches the Rfam family "Bacterial small subunit ribosomal RNA", at positions 329 to 794 of the family's 1533-position model. The record is from RNAcentral.
AUCCAGACUCCUACGGGAGGCAGCAGUGGGGAAUAUUGCACAAUGGGGGAAACCCUGAUGCAGCGACGCCGCGUGAGCGAUGAAGUAUUUCGGUAUGUAAAGCUCUAUCAGCAGGGAAGAAGAUGACGGUACCUGACUAAGAAGCCCCGGCUAACUACGUGCCAGCAGCCGCGGUAAUACGUAGGGGGCAAGCGUUAUCCGGAUUUACUGGGUGUAAAGGGAGCGUAGACGGCGAUGCAAGCCAGAUGUGAAAGCCCGGGGCUCAACCCCGGGACUGCAUUUGGAACUGUGUGGCUGGAGUGUCGGAGAGGCAGGCGGAAUUCCUAGUGUAGCGGUGAAAUGCGUAGAUAUUAGGAGGAACACCAGUGGCGAAGGCGGCCUGCUGGACGAUGACUGACGUUGAGGCUCGAAAGCGUGGGGAGCAAACAGGAUUAGAUACCCUCGUAGA